UGUGGGGGUGGGGGUCAGGGAAGAUUAGGAAGGAGCAUCUAGAACUCCACCAGCUUUUUGCUGAGCUGUAUACAAGGUUCUAUGAAUGUGUCCCCAUCUUUCCGUCUUUUGUUGAAAAUACUGAGAAGGACCAAGGAACACAGCAGAAGUCACACAGCUGUGGGUGGGGCAGGGCCACUGUCCAGGGAAGGAGGACUGAAUGGGCUUUAGGGAGAUAGAUGGGUGCAGGUCUGACAGAGGACAGCAUGGAAGGAGACUGACCCUUCCCCACUCAGCACCCAGAGUGUCCUGCCAUCAUUUACCCCUCCCUGCCCCCCGCCCCAGGCCUAGCACGUCUUUCCCUAUGUCUUAGUUGGCUUGGGCUGUGGUAACAAAAUACCACAGACAGGGUAGCUCAUAAACAGCAGAAGUCCGUGUCUCUUCUGGAGGCUGGGAAGUCCAAAUCUGCACUAGGAGAUUUGGCACCUGGCGAGGACCAGCUUCCUUGCAGACAGCUGUCUUCUCACUGUAACCUCAUAUGAAGGAAGGGGAAAGGGGUCUCCCUUGGGCCUGUUUUAUGAGACACUAAAAUUCCAUUAAAGAGAGCUCUAUCUUCAUGACCCCCUAAAGGUCCCACCUCCUGAUGCCCUCAUCUUGAGGCUUAGGAUUUCAAUAUAUUAAAUCUGGGGGAACACACGUGCACACCACAGCACCCUUUGCUCAGCGCCUUCUGCCCUUAGAAGGCACAGACCCACCCGGAUGCGAGGACGUGCGCUGCCUCCCUGAGCUGACUGGGGACUAUUAAAACAAGAACUUCAUAUUUUUUUUGGCGGUGGGGUGGGUGUGUUCCAAGUAUGUCGCUCGGUGCCUUGGCUUACAAUAGGUGUCCAGUACAUUUUACUGAGUAAAUAAAUAAUAGAUUCCUUAGUUUUUCUAUGGAUUGGACUGGGGAAAGACCCUCUCUGAUGUCACCCAUUCAUCAAGGGCUGCACUCAUGUUCUUGUAGGGUCUGGGCUGUCUCUGCCCUCUGUGGUAACACUGCCAGCCUCAGCCCAGCUAGGGCUGAAGCCUUCUCCUGGCCCCACAGAAUCCUGCAUGGAAGCCUCAGGCUAGGGUGACCAGUGGGACGUAGCAGGACAAAGGGCUCCCGCUGGCGAACCGACUCCACAGCCUUCAUUUAUAUGAAAUGUGACUACAUCACUCAAAACCUAGUGCCUGGCCUUGGUCGGUGCAGGUAAUGAUGAUGUAGGCUCAUUUAUGCAAGAUUAUCCUUUUAUCACAUUUCCAGACUCAUUUAUGAGGCUCAUGUUUCUCCCCGAGGGCGUCAUCAAGCAAGUUAAGUUGUACUAUUUCCCUCCUGCAGCGAACUGGCGGGAGCCUCCCUCGUUGACGGAUGAGGCCGGCUGCCUUUGCCAAAUAGGGUCGGCGUGAUAGAUCUUUUACUUGUGAAUAUUAUAGCUGGAAAUUAGCAUGUUUAUUGAGGUAGAAUGUGUUUGUUUACAUUCCACUACCCAUGGCAUUACCUCUUAUGACCUGACUUAUUUAGUUGAGGAUAAGCACAAAUGAUCCGCAUUUUGGCACCCACAAAAAAUUAAUGAACUUUCAGAUAUAGAAUUCAGCCUUAAGUAAACACAUCAGUGAGGUGAGUGGGGGCAGAGGGGCUGGGAAGGGGGCUGGGGAGCUGGGUGCUGAGCCAGGUAGCCCUCCUGAUGCUCUGCUCUGAUCUGGAAGGGGCAGGAGGUCAGGGGUGGAGGAAGAAGUGAUCCAGCAUCCCUGAGCAGUGCCCAGGGCGAGUGCCCCACAUGUCAGCUUUAUCGAGGUGGCUUCUGGGUGAUGGAGGAGGGAGCUGAGGGAGGACCUGGGUUGUGGACCCCUUUCCUGGGGAGUUUCCUGGGCUACCUGUGUCUUUGAUCGGGAGUGAGAAGCCUGGUCCAGGCUGCAGACCUACAAUGGGGAAGGAGGAUACAUGCACAAGGGUGAUGAAGACCCAGGUGAGUGAUUGACACACUCAAGAGUCCAAGCCACCACCUGAGCCUGCUCCUUUCCUAACCCUUCCAUCUGCUGUGUCUGUGAAACCCAGCUUUUCUCUCCACCCCAGGUUUGGUUAUAGGCAGCAUGAUCUGGGGUGAAACACUUUCCUGUUUUAGAAAAGGAAACUGAGGUUCAGAGAAGAGAAAGGAUUUGGCCAAGGUCUUGGAGGCAGAGGCAAACCAGAAGCCUGACUCCCAAGUCCCCUGCUGCCCCCGAUGUAACCGCCCAAGGGUUCACCUUGCCUGCUGCCGAGACAGAGCCAAUUCAUCAAGACAGGGGAAUUGCAAUAGAGAGAGAGUAAUUCACACAGAGCCAGCCAUUUGGGAGACCAAAGUUUUAUUAUUACUCAAAUCAGUCUCCCUGAGCAUUUGGGGAGCAGAGUUUUUAAGGAUAACUUGGUGGGCUGGGGGAGGCAGUGGUCCAGGAGUGCUGAUUGAUCGGGGUGAAAUCAUAGGGAGUCAAAGCUGUCUUCUUGCACUGAGUCAGUUCUUGGGUGGGGGCCACAAGAGCAGAGGAGCCAAUUUAUUGAUCUGGAUGAUGCCAGCUGAUCCAUCAAGUGCAGGGUCUGCAAAAUAUCUGAAGCUCUGAUCUUAGGAGGAGUUUAGGGAGGGUCAGAAUCUUGUAGCCUCCAGCUGCCUAAAUCCUAAAACAUAAUUUCUAAUCUUAUGGCUAAAGUUAGUCUCACAAAGGCAAUCUAGUCCCAGGCAAGAAGGAGGUCAGCUUUGGGAAAGGGCUAUUGCCGUCUUUGUUGUGGCUCACGCCUGUAAUCUUAGCACUUUGGGAGGCCGAGGCGGGUGGAUCACAAGGUCAAGAGAUCGAGACCAUCCUGGUCAACAUGGUGAAACCCCAUCUCUACUAAAAAUACAAAAAAUUAGCUGGGCAUGGUGAUGUGUGCCUGUAAUCCCAUCUACUCAGGAGGCUGAGGCAGGAGAAUUGCCUGAACCCAGGAGGCGGAGGUUGCGAUGAGCCGAGAUUGCGCCAUUGCACUCCAGCCUGGGUAACAAGAGCGAAACUCCGUCUCAAAAAAAAUAAUAAUAAAAUAAAAUAAAUAAAUAAACUAUAUACUAUAAACUAAGUUUCUCCCAAAGUUACCCUAUGCCCAGGAAUGAACAAAGACAGGUUGGAGAUUAGAAGCAAGGUGGACUCAGUUACCUUAGGUCUCUCUUACUGUCUCAAUCCUAAUUUUGCAAAAGUGGUUUCAAUUCCUCCCGUUGGGGUUUGAACACCUUAAUCUUAAGGUGUAGGCUGUGAAGAUGGGGAAAGGCCCUUGAUCACUCUGGCUUCUUCCUGCUGACAGGGGACAUGGUGGGAAUGGGAGUGAACCCCAAGGUGAGAAGAGUGGAACCGCUUUGCAACUGUCUCAGUGUACUCACGCAGGCCUGGCUGGGCUUCGAGGCUGGGAGGCAAAAGCAUUCGUGUUCUCAUCUAUAGUUUUACUGCAGGGUUACAGUGAACAGCCUACUGUGAGGUAAAUAACGAGUCCUAGGAUGAGAAGUACAAUUCCCGAUUUUAAAACGGAAGAUCUGGCAGCAUUAGUGUGGGGACUUCUAACCCACAAAGAAUUUAGAAUGUCGUCGAAACUGCAGGAAAAAAAUCCUCGAGAACAGCUAACAACAACACUGUACUAUAUUUCUCUUUUGAAGCGUAAUUUUUCUCUCUCCAGUCUCCAUUUUUAUGAAAAACAAAUCAGGAUUGAAUUGAUUUGUUUACACAAUAAACGUUAGUCUUACUGUACUUGGCUUAUUUGCAUAAAAUGCAGCAAGAAUAACUAUUUUUCACUUAGGCUUUUAAAUUGGCUUUGAUAGAAGAACUCUGUUCCAUGGAGAAUCUCAGAUAAGACUUUUUUUUUUUUUUGAGACGGAGUUUCACUCUUGUUACCCAGGCUGGAGUGCAAUGGCACUCGGCUCACCGCAACCUCCGCCUCCUGGGUUCAAGCAGUUCUCCUGCCUCAGCCUCCCAAGUAGCUGGGACUACAGGCUGCACCACCAUGCCCAGCUAAUUUUUGUAUUUUUAGUAGAGACGGGGUUUCACUAUGUUGACCUGGAGGGUCUCGAUCUCUUGACCUCGUGAUCCACCCGCCUUGGCCUCCCAAAGUGCUGGUAUUAUAGGUGUGAGCCACAGCGCCCGGCUUCAGAUAAGACUUUUAAAAGCUGAACCGAGCCAUGAGUUUGUACACUCAGAUACCUGUGAGUUUGGCAAAUUCCUCUCCUCUUGAGGUCCCAAGAUAACUUGGGAUUUCUGGGCAUGUUAGAAAGUGACAUUCUUUACUUAACUGUGGGUCAGGAACCUUGUACAGGGUCUCUGUGUAAUAAGGUAUGAGGCCAGAUGCCCCAGUGGGCUUUAAUUGGCUCUAUAAGUCACCUUUGAUUCUUUUUUUUUUUUCUGAGAUGGAGUCUUGCCCCGUCACCCAGGCUGGAGUGCAAUGCGGCGACCUGGGCUCACUGCAGCCGCCACCUCCCAGGUUUAAGCACUUCUCCUGCCUCAGCCUCCCAAGUAACUGGGAUUACAGGUGUGCGCCAUCAUGCCUGACUAAUUUUUUGUAUCUUUAGUAGAGACGGGGCUGGCCAGGCUUGGUCUCAAACUCCUGAUCUCGUGAUCCGUCCACCUCGGCCUCCCAAAGUGCUGGUAUCACAGGCAUGAGCCACCGCACCUGGCCUCAACUUUGAUGCUUUAAGGAAGCACGCCAUUCCAGUCAAAGCCUUGGGAAAACAACCAGUGUCUCCAAUUGUAUCCUGUUACAAAAGAAAACAGAUUCUCAUUGCACUUAUGCAAUUAGCUACACUGCCAUAAAUUGAGAACACAAAGAGUUUCCAAAUUCUGGAGAAAUCAGAUAGACAGGAAAAUAUACGCUCCAAAUUUUGUUCACAGGAGUAUAUUUUACUCACUUGUUAAAAGUUGCAAAUAGCUCUAAAGAAUUAAGUUCUCUUGACUCUGAAAACAAAAGGUGUAGCAGUGUUUAACACAUUAGCUGUGCAUGAGAGUCCUAGAAGGUUUUUUUUCUCUAUUCCAAUAGCACAAUUUUUAGAGUUAUCUGAGACCUGCACUCAGAGUCCUAUAUCUGAUUAUAAACUGCCUUUUGAAAAGGACCAAAGCAAGAUGUGGGUGGCAAAAGUCUUUAGGCACUAUUAAAGCUACAAUCGACUAGGAAUUUCGGUUACUUCUGCGGCAUUCAACAAUUUUACAUAACAAUUAUAAUGAUUUAUCAUGUAUACUAAAUUAUAUCAAGAUUGCAAAAGUGUCCCACAAUUUCGGAACACAUACCAACAACAUAUUUAUACAAAUACAAUCCAAAGAAAACCAAACACCUUUCACUCUUCGAUUUGAAAGUUUUUUUUUUUUCUAUCCUGAUGUCACACUCUCCCAGAGUUAGUAAUCAGAAACCCACAUGUAAGAGCACCUGGGCCAGGUGUGGUGGCUCACAUCUGCAAUCCCAGAACUUUGGGAGGCCGAGGAAAGCAGAUCACCUGAGGUCAGCAGUUUGAAAACAGCCUGACCAACGUGCGGAAACCCCGCCUCUACUAAAAAUGCAAAAUUACCCGGGUGUGGUGGCGCGUGCCUGUAGUCCCAGCUACUCGGGAGGCUGAGGCAGGAGAAUUGCUUGAACCUGGGAGGUGGCAGUUGCAGUGAGCCGAGAUCGCACCAUUGCAUUCCAGUGUGGGAAACAAGAGUGAAACUCUGUCUCAAAAAAAAAAAAAAAACACAAAAAACACAAUAACAAAAAAACAGCACCUGUUAAAUUUUAUAGCUGAUUAUAAAAUCAUCUUUUAAAGAGGACCAAAUCGAGACAAUUGUCUGUGGGUGACAGAAACAUUUUAGGGCAGCAGCACAGUUAAAGCCACAAUUGACAGGGAAAUUUGUCUCUGUGGCACACAGCCAUUUAACAUAAUAAUUAUUCUGAUAACACAUCCUAACUCAUAUCAGAAUUACAGCAGUUUUACAUAAUUUUGGAACAUAUACCAAUAAUACAUUUACACAAAUACAGACCGAAGAACGCCAAAGAUCGUUUCAUAUUUGACAAUGCUUCCUGUGUGAUUUUUGAACCAAAUAAGCCAGAUGUCAUUUUUGGACUUUAGGGGACCUAAUAUCUAAAAGAUUAGGCUAGAAAGAGACAUAAUUUAUAAUUUGAUUUUGGAAAGUGCGUCAAAUAUCAAAGGUUUAAAACACCGAAUAUCACAAAAUAGAAUCCUAGGUCACCAUAAGUCAAUCAUUUGGCUGAAAUGAUAACUCCAAAUUUUUUUUAAAAAAGAAAACCUUUACUCUGAUAGAGGAGACUGAGUUUUCCAAACAAGACUCAGUAAUGACAGCAUGAGACCAACCGCCUUGGUGCCUCUUUCUCCUCCCUUUUUGCCCUGCCGUUUACCCAAAGAAGAAACAAACCCCUUUCGUUAUCAUUCAACAUUACCUAAAAAUCAUCUUCAAAAGAGGAAACCAGAUUCCAUGUUUGCAUAGUGCAUCUUUAAUGUUAAAGGUAGUUUUUUAAAUAAAAUUUAAUAUCUUUAUCCAGUUUUAAUUAGCUUGACCAUAAGGUUAAGAGUUUCAUAAACUCUUUAGAACUCUUUACAGUUUUCCAUCUACUUUUAAUUCCUGGGGUUUCACGAGGAAAACAGAGGGAUUCCCACCCCACCCCUCCACGGCCGCCGCCGCAAAAACGGGGUCUGUGGCGCCUCUUCUGUUUUUCCCAAUGAGUCCCAGGCUACCAGAAGUUAUCUUAAGUCCUCUCAUGUGUGUGCAUAAAGAGUGGCAAGCCAAAAAAAAAAAAAUGGAGAAAAAUAAUUCAGUCAACUGAGGAGACACCUUUAUCUAGAAAAACAAGUUCCAAGAAGAGAAAAACAUAAAGGCCUUUAACCUAUACCCAUAGCUUGUUUACCCACUUUACAUUAAGCUGACUUGUAACCGUAGCACUCUUUAAAAAAUCCUUUAAAAUUUUUUUAUUAUGUGACUUUAGCCAUAUCAAGGGGCCAAUAUUUUUGGCUUCUGAAUUCCACCACAGGUGACUUUCCACUGAAAUCAAUCAGUUUUAACUAAGGUUAUAUGUUAACCAUGGACACAUAGGUAGGUGUCUCAAAGGGAUGGUAAGCAGUUUCUUUCUUUCUUUUCUUUUUUUAAAUAAGAUUUAGAAGCUCCCCCAGGUUAGUUUAGGGAAAGGAAAAUUCAAGAUAGAAAAUCAGAAGCUAUCCACGGGCAGGGUGUGUGGGGGGGACCCUCAAUAAAUGGCAAAAUUACAUAAAUAAAAAACCAGAAAGGAGUCAUUGCAGAAGCAAAGAAUAGAACCCAGGCUGCCAUUGUCAAAAACAAAGCCUUAGCUACUGAGUUAGAGCAAUGAGCAGUUUCUAUUGGGUCUUCUCGGAAGGAGCCUAGAGAAGCCGAUUUCAAGCUUGCAAAGGCUUUUAACUGCUCAAGAUAAUUUUUAGGCUAUGUAUGACAUGAACUCCCAAAUUCCUGUCCUCCUGAUGGUUAAAACCAAGAUAAAGGAUCCCCACAUGGUCACGAGGUUAAACUCUUAAGGACACAAAACAAGACAGAAAUUUCAUCCAGUAUUGUUUUCAGAGACCCUCGGCAAAGUUUGUAACUGAGCAGCCUGGCAGGCUUGAGAAGCGGGCUUAUAGGUGUUCUAAAGCCACAUGCUAGCCUGCGAUGCCCCUCUCUCCAUUACAGAACCAGAGAGACAAAUUCUUAGCACAAAGUACAGCAGAUUUGCUACUGCCUAAGACCGGUCUCACAAAUCAUUUUUCUAUUAAUCAGACCCUUGCGGAAAGACAGACAGUGACGUUUACUGUUUACUCAGUAGAAGAAGGUGCAGGAGUCGGACCCUCUAGGAUACUGCUUCAGGGACCCAUAAAAUUUUGUCACCUGUGUCUGGCAGGCAGAUGCCUUUAAAAGCAAUUAACUACAAAUAUGUCUCACUACAGAUGAGGAAACCAAGGCAAAGAGAGAUUUGGAGAUUUUCCAUGAUUUUCCAAGGUCACACAAUGAAACGAAGGGACAGACGUUUCAGGAGCAGAUUCUUGCAUUUCCAACACACCAGAGCUGUCAUAUACAAAUCUCCUCCCCAGUCUCUCUGUACUGCUAUGGGCAUCGGCAAACGGACUGGCUGUUUAGGCACUGGAGAAGCAGGCAGAUCCAGGGCCUGCUAUCUAUGAGAAGGAGCUAGGAACAUGGGGUCUUGGAUCCUAGUGAAGACCCUGAGGUGGGGAAGUAGAUUGGAGCUGGAGACAGACAGGAGGGCGAGAACAUAGCUGCAGGCUGAGGAAUCCCUCCUGGUAAGAAGGGAGGUGAGCAGAUAGCUCUGACCAGCUCGGAGAUCAAGUUUUUAAUACUCUGAUAGGGCAGGCAAGCCAGUACUAUCAAUUAUGGAUAGCUUUCAGCAGCAGGUAACCAAGACUCAAAAAGCUAAGGCUUAACAAAAACAAAACACCAAAGAUGAGGCGUAUCUUUCUCUCUUGCACUGUGAUAUCCAGAGGUGAUCAGAACUGGGGCCACAACUCCAAGGUAGCAUCAAAGACUCCCGUGUCUCCUAGCUUCCUUCUCUGGCAAGUGUCUCUGCUAGUGGCUUUCACCCUAAGGUCACCUUGUAAUCACAAGGUGGCCAUUAGCUCUCCAACCAUUGGGGCCACAUUCUAGGUGGGAGAAAGGAGGAGGGGAAAGGGUGCCUGUCAGCAGAGUCAGCUUCCUUUUUUUUUCUUUUGAGACGGAGUCUUGCUCUUGUUGACCAGGCUGGAGUGCAAUGGCACAAUCUUGGCUCACCACAACCUUUGCCUCCCAGGUUCAAGUGAUUCUUCUGCCUCAGCCUCCCGAGUAGCUGAGAUUACAGGCAUGUGCCACCACACCCAGCUAAUUUUUUGUAUUUUUAGUAGAGACAGAGUUUCUCCAAGUUGGUCAGGCUGGUCUUGAACUCCCGACCUCAGGUGAUCCACCUGCCUCAGCCUCCCAGAGUGCUGGGAUGAUAGGUGUAAGCCACUGCGCCCGGCCAUCAGCUUCCUUUUAAAGGAGACUUCUUAAAAGGAAGCACGCAGGAAGGGAACAACUUUGGCCUUUGCCUCACUGACCAAAAUUGGUCAUGCGGGCACCCGUAGCUGUAAGGGAGGUUGGGAAAUGUAGGUUUUAUAGCUUGUACAUGGCUGCCCCCAGUCAGGGCUGUGUGAACAAGGAAGGGACUCGUAGAUAGGGGGAGAACGGACCACAGUCUCUUGACUCCUUCCCGUAAUUUGCAGAGUCUCGCCCUGUCACCCAGGCUGGAGUUCAGUGGCACCAUCUCGGCUCACUGCAACCUUCACCUCUCAGGUUCAAGCAAUUCUCCUGCGUCAGCCUCCGAAAUAACUGGGAGUACAGGUGCGCACCACCAUGCCCAGUUGCUGGUCACAACCUAGCAUUUGUUGACUGAUUUCAUGAUCCGCCAGUUGUCACAACACACAAGUUGCAAAGCACUAUCUGGAAAAACGAAACAAAAACCAGAAAUAUUUGCCAAGGAGAGAGACAGAGAAGUAAGUUUUCCCAGUGGAGGCAAAAAUCACACAGACCCUGCCCCAGACACCAAGAUGGUGUCUUGGGGCACUGGUUGGGUACAAAGAAAGACAGGUGGAGAGGGACAUGGGGGGUGAGACAGAGAUGGAGGAAGAGCCCCACUCAGACAGAGCUGCACACCCACAGAUGCUGACAUGAUACCCUGAGAAGGGCAGAGCGGGAGGCUGGCAGAAUCAAGUGGAAAACACAGAAGUCCAGGGUUGAGAAGGGAGAGACAACGAGAUACAGGAAAUUAAAAAUGAGAUGCAGAGACAGAUGUGCAAGCAGGCUGGGAAGUGGAGAUUCUAAGGCCGAGACCCAAAGGAGACACAUCCCAGAAUAAGCUGGAGCAUGAGGGGCCUUUGCACAAGCCGGGGUCUCAGAGUCCAGCUGCAGGCUGGGGCUCGGCCACUCAGGAGGCUUGGUUGUCACUUCACCUUUCAGUCCCUGCUUCCUUCUCUGAGAACCCAGCUAGCAGUCCCUCCUUCUCACGAGUGUGGAGAAAGUCACACUGCAAAGCAAGCACCAGGACUUAGGGUCUCUAAAGGAUGGAUGGAUGGAUGGAUGUCUGGAAGGGCUGUCCUCACAGACCCCUGCCCUUGGCCGGACACAGAGUCUUUCACUGCCACCCACCCACAGCGUCCCCAGUGUCCCUCUCCAGACAGUCCCCUCCCCUGCUUCUCUGCCCAAAGGAGGGAAACCCAUUUCCCUGGGAACAGCUGUGUUUCCUCAACAAACAAAUGUUCCCUUAAAACGUUUCUGAGGAAGAGCGGAUGGUAAUGAGCGAACAUCUGGCCAAGCGGCACACUUUCGUUUUUUGGCAGCUCCGGAGCCCGCCAAGUGAGUAUUCCCUAAUGUUCACCACAUCCCAGCCCCUGCUAUUCCCAAUCAGGCUUGUACCACUACGCCUCAAUUAAGAGCAGAUGCGGGGCUGAGCGAACGAGGAGGAAAAAACACCCUUCCCCAGCGUCCCUCUGCGCUGCUCAAAAUCCAGGGAAGUGGUCUGAGAACUCACAGCGACUCCAGCUUCUGCCUUUGGACUUCAUCCGUCCAUCCAUCCAUCCAUCUGUCCAUCCAUCCAGCUUCCCCUGCUGUGGCCUUUGGGGAUACAGACAUGAACAACAGAUCCUUGCCCCCAUCUGGCUCCUAGACAGUCUUCUUCCCUAUAAUACAGGCAUUGGCAAACUGGCUCUACAAAGGGCCAGAUGAAAAAUAUCUGGCUUUGCAGGCCACAUGCUCUUCGUCACAACUCUUCAACUGCACUGUUGCAGUGUGAAAACAGCCACGGACAAGUCAUAAAUGAAUGAGCACAGCUGUUCCAAUAAAACCUUAUUUACCAAAAUGGUGGCAGGCUGGAUUUAGCCCAUGGGCCAUAAUCUGCCAACCUCUGCUAUAUGACAUCCUAAGUUGAGGUGAUCACAUCUUGGGGUAUCUGCCUUAAGAAUCCCUCACCCGCUGCACUGCAUGAGCCCUGCUAUCUCCUCCCCAACCCACUCUGGUGGACUCAAUUGAUUGGCCCACCCUGGGAAGACAAGGUGGUGAUACCUGACCCAGCUGGGCUACUCAGUCUUUCUCCAGGCUUAGGAAUUGGACCAAGUGGGUCAGUUGGGUCUGGAGCUCAUUUACACUGGGAACUGAGGGGCCACCAUCUUCUUCCUGCCUCCUAGAUAGAGAUGCAGAGAAAAGUGGGCUACAGACGGUGCAAAAUUUUGGUCUGAAUAUUUGCAUGUCCUCUAAAUUCAUGUGUUAAAACCCUCACCUGCAAAGUGAUGGUAUUAGGAGGUGGGGGCUGUGGCUAGAUAUGAGGGUGGAGCCUUCAUAAGUGGGAUUGGUGUCCUUAUAAAAGAGACCCCAGAGAGACCCUUGCCCCUUUCAUCGUGUGAGGACACAGUGAGACGGCACCAUGUCUGAACCAGAAAGCAGGCCAUCACCAGAUACUGAAUCUGCCAGCAGCUUGGUCUUGGACUUCCCAGCCUCCAGAACCAUGAGAAAUAGAUCUUCGUUGCUUAUAAGCCACCCAGUUUAUGGUAUUUUGCUGUAGCAGCCAUAAGGGACUAAGACGGGAAUGAAAUAACCCAUGUGGAGAGAGGCUUCCUGGCAUCCUAAUUUGCUUUCGGACUGUCCCAUCCUGUCCUGAGCCCUGCCUACAUUACCACCCUGGAUUCCCCAGAGCCCCCUGGAUCCUUCUUAAGGAGUCUGCUUUUCUGUUGAUACUGGCUUAAGUUGGUACUUGCUUCAACUAAGCAAGCAAGGCAUUCUGCACCACUUUCUGCCUCUGCAUGCCGUUCAUUGGAUUACUGCAGGGCUUGCCCUGCAGUAGAUACCUAGGAAAGUAAGACAUGUCCUUGCCCUCCAGCAGCAGAUAGGUAACAAAAUAGGGAAGAUGGACAUCUGUGUUCCUCACUCUUGCACAAGCCACGAUGUACUUGGAGUGCGUCAACUGCCAAGGAGGAAGGGGUAUGGAGUAGGAGGUGGGGGAAAUCUGAGAGCCUUGGCAGAGGAGGCGCCUGCUGUACCCCUUGGAGGGUGAGUUGACUUUGGGCAGAAAAAUAAAGUGGAGGGGGCAGUGCUUGAGUUUAGAGCAAUAUUUUCCAAAUUAGGUUCAUAGAACGCUAAUUCCAGGAGGAGUUUUCUGGUAUCCAUCCUCUCCUUUCUUACCCAUCCACCUUUGAUUCCAUCCAAUUGAUAAUGCACUCCUUAGAAAUACUCACUCUCCCAGGCUCCUUUGCAGCUAGAGUGAUCAUGUGAUGUACUUCUGACCAAUGAGAUGUAAGCAGAAAUCAGCUGGAGGGUGCUUACAGGAUAUAAAGGUUCAAACUCACCUUUGCACCUUGCCUUCUCCUUCCUGCCUGGAAUGUAGGUGUGGUGCCUGAAGGGGCUUUUUGCAACUAUCAGGAUGAAAGCUACAUGCUAAGGAGGGCGGAGCAGGAAGCUGGAAGGAGUCUGGGUUCCGGUGCCAUGUCCGGGCCACCAUAGCCCUGGACUGCUUAUUUCUGUACUGGUUACUGAGGGAUUAGUGUCCUUAUAAAAGUCUCCCAUUUGCGACUCAACACACUUCUAACCAAUGCAAUGUUUAAUGAUAAAAGAGUUCUAAGGACCAAAUCAGUUUGUGGACACCAAUUUCCACUAUCAGAGAUUCACAAAAUAGAUUAUUACAGGUUCUCAGAAACUUAAUAUGAAGAUCACUGUUUAACCCAGUGUUUCCCAAAAUGUUUGUUCACCAACACCUCCACUGCCAGGAUGCCAAUGGGCAUCCCAUGGAACACACUUUGGGAAACAGGCUAUAGAGGAAGAAGUAUAGGCUUCAGGGUUAAGGAAGAUCUGGGUUGUAAUGCUGUGUGGCUUCAGACAUCUCAUAUAACCUCUCCAAGCCUGAGGUUCCUAUUCUAUAAAACAAGUGAGGGACAUUACAGGUUACAGAUAAUCCAGGCAAAGCGCUCGGCACCGUCUGUGGCUCCUAGUCAUCAACAAUUCUCAUUAGCUGCUAGGAUCGUGUUUUGAAAGGAAUGUAGCAUCAGAGACAGAAGAACCUGACUUGAGUGAUGGUUUGCCACUUUCUUCCUCUGUGACCCUGGGCCAGUGACUGCACUUGUCCGAGCCCCUGUGUUCUGAAUGGCGGAGCAGGAAUUACAGUGUCUACUUGGGCAAGAGGUGGUAUGUGGAAAAGCCUGGCUCCAGGAGGACCUUCCCCCAAGGAGGUCUGGAGGAGCCCAGAGCUCUGCCACCAGGCCUUGCCUCCAGUCCCUGCAGGCCAGCCCUUUGCCCCAGAAAGGCUACAGCUUUUGGCUUUUGCAUUUUCAUUUGUACGGCAUCUGCCUUGCCUCCCUGCCCACUUGUCUGU
Callithrix jacchus (white-tufted-ear marmoset) is the source of this 13351-nucleotide non-coding RNA. Lineage: Eukaryota; Metazoa; Chordata; Mammalia; Primates; Cebidae. The record is from RefSeq and is a predicted model, not a curated record.